AUUGAACGCUGGCGGCAGGCCUAACACAUGCGAGUCGAGCGGAUGAAGGGAGCUUGCUCCUGGAUUCAGCGGCGGACGGGUGAGUAAUGCCUAGGAAUCUGCCUGGUAGUGGGGGAUAACGUCCGGAAACGGGCGCUAAUACCGCAUACGUCCUGAGGGAGAAAGUGGGGGAUCUUCGGACCUCACGCUAUCAGAUGAGCCUAGGUCGGAUUAGCUAGUUGGUGGGGUAAAGGCCUACCAAGGCGACGAUCCGUAACUGGUCUGAGAGGAUGAUCAGUCACACUGGAACUGAGACACGGUCCAGACUCCCACGGGAGGCAGCAGUGGGGAAUAUUGGACAAUGGGCGAAAGCCUGAUCCAGCCAUGCCGCGUGUGUGAAGAAGGUCUUCGGAUUGUAAAGCACUUUAAGUUGGGAGGAAGGGCAGUAAGUUAAUACCUUGCUGUUUUGACGUUACCAACAGAAUAAGCACCGGCUAACUUCGUG
This 484-nucleotide ribosomal RNA is filed under the name uncultured bacterium. Its description in RNAcentral is "partial 16S ribosomal RNA". It matches the Rfam family "Bacterial small subunit ribosomal RNA", at positions 30 to 507 of the family's 1533-position model. The record is from RNAcentral.